GACGAACGCUGGCGGCGUGCUUAACACAUGCAAGUCGAACGGAAAGGCCCUGCUUUUGUGGGGUGCUCGAGUGGCGAACGGGUGAGUAACACGUGAGUAACCUGCCCUUGACUUUGGUAUAACUUCAGGAAACUGGGGCUAAUACCGGCUAGGAGCUCCUGCUGCAUGGUGGGGGUUGGAAAGGUUCGGCGGUUGGGGAUGGACUCGCGGCUUCUCAGCGUGUUGGUGGGGUAGUGGCUUACCCAGGCUUUGGCGGGUAGCCGGCCUGAGAGGGUGACCGGCCACAUUGGGACUGAGAUACGGGCCAGACGCCUACGGGAGGCAGCAGUGGGGAAUAUUGCACGAUGGGCGGAAGCCUGAUGCAGCAACGCCGCGUGCGGGAUGACGGCCUUCGGGUUGUAAACCGCUUUCGCCUGUGACGAAGCGUGAGUGACGGUAAUGGGUAAAGAAGCACCGGCUAACUACGUG
RNAcentral lists this ribosomal RNA (468 nucleotides) under uncultured bacterium. RNAcentral's name for it is "partial 16S ribosomal RNA". It matches the Rfam family "Bacterial small subunit ribosomal RNA", at positions 28 to 507 of the family's 1533-position model. The record is from RNAcentral.